RNAcentral lists this ribosomal RNA (202 nucleotides) under uncultured bacterium. RNAcentral's name for it is "partial 16S ribosomal RNA". It matches the Rfam family "Bacterial small subunit ribosomal RNA", at positions 328 to 544 of the family's 1533-position model. The record is from RNAcentral.
ACGCUCGACACCUACGGGAGGCAGCAGUGGGGAAUAUUGCACAAUGGGGGAAACCCUGAUGCAGCGACGCCGCGUGAGCGAAGAAGUAUUUCGGUAUGUAAAGCUCUAUCAGCAGGGAAGAAACUGACGGUACCUGACUAAGAAGCACCGGCUAAAUACGUGUCAGCAGCCGCGUAAUACUGAGCGGGCGUGGCGAAGGACG